RNAcentral lists this non-coding RNA (142 nucleotides) under Lotharella globosa. The record is from RNAcentral. Lineage: Eukaryota; Cercozoa; Chlorarachniophyceae.
AAAAAAAAAAAAAAAGAAGAAAAAAAAAACGGGGGAAGACAAGGCCACCAGUUCUUCUAUCUUACCUCCACAAACCAUGUUCUUUUGGUUGGUUUUUUUUUUCUUUUUUCUUUUUUCUUUUUUUUUAUUUUUUAUAAAUACU